Molecule: long non-coding RNA, 1928 nt
Filed under: Homo sapiens (human)
Lineage: Eukaryota; Metazoa; Chordata; Mammalia; Primates; Hominidae
Description: OIP5 antisense RNA 1
Source: RNAcentral
GAAGCUGCGAAGAUGGCGGAGUAAGGCGUGCCGCUGCAAACUGGCCUCUGGGCCGGGGGCGAGCAGCCCCCGGGAGGCCGAGUGCAUCUGUUGGACCGUGCGAGGUGAGCCGAGAAGGAGAAGAAAAAAAAUAUCGGCCAGAGGAGAGGAACUAACCGAACAUUCUUCCUCCCUACCUUAUAGAGGGGAGUGGUCAUCUACACUAAAGCAAAGUGUUAGGCGCGUCCGUGCGAAGAGACCACCAAACAGGCUUUGUGUUCCUUAUCACAGGAAGAAAAUUUUCCUUGACCUUUAGGUGCUUUUAUAUUCAUCUCAAAAACAAAAUUCUGAACUCAGGACUUGGCAAGUGUCUCUAUGUUGUCUCCUAGAGUGGGUAGUCCUGCUUCUUUUACCCAGUUACUUUCCCGUUUUUGAAAUGUGGCUAUCACUUCUCUACACAUUACCUCCAUGAUUUGGAAUGGAAAAGGCCACUUUUCUUUUUGUUCUGCCUCUCAAAUUCAACACAGAGGAGCUCCUAGGAUUCCAGUUAUCCUGCUAACAUCUCCAGGAAGAAAGAAGCAACUCACAUGGGUCUUUUGCUGUUUGCUUAAUUAUAAAGACAUCAUUUUGCAAGCAGAAGGCUGAGUUUCAUUUGAAACAGGUGCUUAGGUGGUGGUAUUUGUGAAUACUUUUCAUUCCAAGCAAGAAGACUAAAGAAGUAGCAAGUAUGAAUGACUUCAGGGUUUAAAAAAAAUGUCUUCCAGUUUCAGCCACUACCAUGAUAAGCACAGUUGAGACUGCAGCAGUAAAUUCCAAAUAUGUGUUUCUAAUUUGACGUGAAAGAUACUAAAAAUUUAUAUUUGUAUAUUUAAAUCCUGGCUCAUCCUGUGACAUAGAUUUACUGAAUAGGAACAAAGGCCCAAUUUUAAACAAAAACCUAGGCCGGGUGUGGUGGCUCACACCUGUAAUCCCAACACUUUGGGAGGCCAAGGCAGGCAAAUCACCUGAGGUUGGGAGUUUGAGACCAGCCUGACCAACAUGGAGAAACCCCAUCUCUACUAAAAAUAGAAAAUUAGCCAGGUGUGGUGGUAGAUACGUGUAAUCCCAGCUACUCGUGAGGCUGAGGCAGGAGAAUUGCUUGAAUCCGGGAGGCGGAGGUUGCAGUGAACUGAGAUUGCACCACUGCACUCCAGCCUGGGCGACAGAGUGAGACUCCGUCUCAGAAAAAUAAAAAACAACUUUGGACAUAGAGGAGUUGGGGGCAGAGGGGGGAGGAUGAGAGAAUUUUCCAUGUAACUCCUUUUCCUUAAGAAAAAGAAGCAAAAAUCCCUCAUGCAGUGCCAUCUGACUUUAUGGUGUUUCACAUUAUAUAGUUACUUUUUUUAAUAAACGCAUAAGAUUAACUCUUCCUGCAACCCAAGGUGGAUACUUGGAUGUUUGAUUUUUAUUUAUUUAUUUAUUUAUUUUUUGAGGCAGUCUCUCUCUGUUGCCCAGGCUGGAGUGAUGCGUGAUUUCUGCUCACUGCAGUCUCUCCCACCCGGGUUCAAGCGAUUCUCCUGCCUCAGCCUCCCAAGUAGCUAGGAUUACAGGCGCGCACCACCACGCUCAGCCUGAUUUCUAGGCUGAAAAGGCUGGGACUCAGGUACUUUCCCCAGUUGGGACUGAACUUUCUCAUCAGAGAAUGGGCCUCAGAAGCAAUGUUCCCAAACUUGUGGUUGGGUCAUCGUGGAAAAGAAACCUCAAAUAAGAAAAAUAAUUACAAUAAGAAAUGGAUUUUCUUUUUUCCCACAACAGUUAUACAUUAUAAAGAACAGACUGUCGUAGAAAACUGUCUUUGCUUCCAAAUCAGCAGAGGACCAUUGUAUGUAUUGUCAGGUCUUUAUAUAAGAGUGAAACCUUUAUUUAUGCUUCUUGUGAGUAGAGAAUAAAUUUUAAAACUAAUUAGAUGA